RNAcentral lists this ribosomal RNA (253 nucleotides) under uncultured bacterium. RNAcentral's name for it is "partial 16S ribosomal RNA". It matches the Rfam family "Bacterial small subunit ribosomal RNA", at positions 524 to 776 of the family's 1533-position model. The record is from RNAcentral.
UACGAAGGGGGCUAGCGUUGCUCGGAAUCACUGGGCGUAAAGGGGGCGUAGGCGGGUUUUUAAGUCAGGGGUGAAAUCCUGGAGCUCAACUCCAGAACUGCCUUUGAUACUGAAGAUCUUGAGUCCGGGAGAGGUGAGUGGAACUGCGAGUGUAGAGGUGAAAUUCGUAGAUAUUCGCAAGAACACCAGUGGCGAAGGCGGCUCACUGGCCCGGUACUGACGCUGAGGCACGAAAGCGUGGGGAGCAAACAGG